UGUAGAUGUCCUGCACACUUGCCU
This 24-nucleotide non-coding RNA is filed under the name Arabidopsis thaliana (thale cress). The record is from RNAcentral. Lineage: Eukaryota; Viridiplantae; Streptophyta; Magnoliopsida; Brassicales; Brassicaceae.